RNAcentral lists this ribosomal RNA (1346 nucleotides) under uncultured bacterium. RNAcentral describes it as "bacterial SSU rRNA". It matches the Rfam family "Bacterial small subunit ribosomal RNA", at positions 28 to 1381 of the family's 1533-position model. The record is from RNAcentral.
GACGAACGCUGGCGGCGUGCUUAACACAUGCAAGUCGAACGGAAAGGCCCUGCUUUUGUGGGGUGCUCGAGUGGCGAACGGGUGAGUAACACGUGAGUAACCUGCCCUUGACUUUGGGAUAACUUCAGGAAACUGGGGCUAAUACCGGAUAGGAGCUCCUGCUGCAUGGUGGGGGUUGGAAAGUUUCGGCGGUUGGGGAUGGACUCGCGGCUUAUCAGCUUGUUGGUGGGGUAGUGGCUUACCAAGGCUUUGACGGGUAGCCGGCCUGAGAGGGUGACCGGCCACAUUGGGACUGAGAUACGGCCCAGACUCCUACGGGAGGCAGCAGUGGGGAAUAUUGCACAAUGGGCGGAAGCCUGAUGCAGCAACGCCGCGUGCGGGAUGACGGCCUUCGGGUUGUAAACCGCUUUCGCCUGUGACGAAGCGUGAGUGACGGUAAUGGGUAAAGAAGCACCGGCUAACUACGUGCCAGCAGCCGCGGUGAUACGUAGGGUGCGAGCGUUGUCCGGAUUUAUUGGGCGUAAAGGGCUCGUAGGUGGUUGAUCGCGUCGGAAGUGUAAUCUUGGGGCUUAACCCUGAGCGUGCUUUCGAUACGGGUUGACUUGAGGAAGGUAGGGGAGAAUGGAAUUCCUGGUGGAGCGGUGGAAUGCGCAGAUAUCAGGAGGAACACCAGUGGCGAAGGCGGUUCUCUGGGCCUUUCCUGACGCUGAGGAGCGAAGGCGUGGGGAGCGAACAGGCUUAGAUACCCUGGUAGUCCACGCUGUAAACGGUGGGUACUAGGUGUGGGGUCCAUUCCACGGGUUCCGUGCCGUAGCUAACGCUUUAAGUACCCCGCCUGGGGAGUACGGCCGCAAGGCUAAAACUCAAAGGAAUUGACGGGGCCCCGCACAAGCGGCGGAGCAUGCGGAUUAAUUCGAUGCAACGCGUAGAACCUUACCUGGGUUUGACAUGGAUCGGGAGUGCUCAGAGAUGGGUGUGCCUCUUUUGGGGUCGGUUCACAGGUGGUGCAUGCCUGUCGUCAGCUCGUGUCGUGAGAUGUUGGGUUAAGUCCCGCAACGAGCGCAACCCUUGUUCACUGUUGCCAGCACGUUAUGGUGGGGACUCAGUGGAGACCGCCGGGGUCAACUCGGAGGAAGGUGGGGAUGACGUCAAGUCCUCAUGCCCCUUAUGUCCAGGGCUUCACGCAUGCUACAAUGGCUGGUACAGAGAGUGGCGAGCCUGUGAGGGUGAGCGAAUCUCGGAAAGCCGGUCUCAGUUCGGAUUGGGGUCUGCAACUCGACCUCAUGAAGUCGGAGUCGCUAGUAAUCGCAGAUCAGCAACGCUGCGGUGAAUACGUUCCCGGGGCU